Molecule: ribosomal RNA, 470 nt
Filed under: uncultured bacterium
Lineage: Bacteria
Description: bacterial SSU rRNA
Rfam family: Bacterial small subunit ribosomal RNA
Source: RNAcentral
GAUGAACGCUGGCGGCGUGCCUAAUACAUGCAAGUCGAACGAGGUGCUUUUGUAGCAAUACGAGAGUAUCCUAGUGGCGAACGGGUGAGUAACGCGUUGGUGACCUACCCCAAAGUGUGGGAUAACAGUCCGAAAGGAUUGCUAAUACCGCAUGUGGUCAUUGGAUUUAGAAGCUGAUGACUAAAGGAGCAAUUCGCUUUGGGAGGGACCUGCGUCCCAUCAGCUAGUUGGUGAGGUAACGGCUCACCAAGGCGACGACGGGUAGGGGACCUGAGAGGGUGGCCCCCCACAAUGGAACUGAAACACGGUCCAUACACCUACGGGUGGCAGCAGUAGGGAAUAUUGCACAAUGGGCGAAAGCCUGAUGCAGCAACGCCGCGUGCACGAUGAAGGCCUUCGGGUCGUAAAGUGCUUUUCUGGGAGAUGAGAAAGGACAGUAUCCCAGGAAUAAGUCUCGGCUAACUACGUGC